This 2620-nucleotide long non-coding RNA is filed under the name Strigops habroptila (Kakapo). Its description in RNAcentral is "lncRNA (ENSSHBG00005017033.1)". The record is from RNAcentral. Lineage: Eukaryota; Metazoa; Chordata; Aves; Psittaciformes; Psittacidae.
UAAAAAAAAUAAUCUUUAUUCCUUAAUGAUGUAAAUGUUUUCUAACAUUUUUGAUAUAUUAAUUAUGGAUAAAUUACCAUCAUAUUUAUUUCUAGUACUCAUGCAUUUGUGUUGUCUGCUUUUCUGGAAUUGUUGGAAGCAUUUGGAUUUGUGUCUGCUACAUGUUUGAGAAAAGUAAUUAUAUUUACAUACUUCUUUUUAUUAUUCAAUAUGACUAAGCUUGUUAACUUCUAAUAGACCUACUUGUACCAUCUUGCCAAGAAUGGGUUACAUAUAAAGAACAAAGGACAACAGAAUAGGCGCCUUGAUACUGAUUUGAUAAUACAAUACAAAAAUGUAGUAUUUCAGCUCAAAACGGUGAAAGAACUGCUCCUUAGUGCCAGCAUCAGUGAACAAGAUUCUGUUCACAAGUCUGCCAUAACCUCGAGCAAAUCACCUCUGAAUUUUUAUUUAUCUGUAACAUAGAGAUGAUCUCUCAGCUCCCUUACAAUGUUUCUUAUCCUUACACUUAAAAAUUCAAUUUAUAGUUAACUCACUGACUAAAUGGUAGAAAAGGCAAUCAGAGUAUCAGACUUACUACUUAAGGUGGUCAGGGCUGCUGCUGAGAUAGUAAUUCAGACCACUCUAAGCUCUAGUUAAUGGUGGAAAAGGGAAGUACUAGACCAAAUUAAACAGAUUAUAUCCAGGUGGAAAUGGACUUCAUAACUUGCCAUCACUUGUAGACGUGAGAGCUACAAGUUACUGAGGAGAUCAGUAACAACUUUGCCUCCUAAGACAAGGAGAAACAAAAUUUAACAGCCCGUGAUGAUAAUCUCCAUUUCAGGCUAAGCCAGCAAAGCUCAACUGUUGGCUCAUGUGCUGAGUUCAGCUUUACUGACAUUUCCUUGAAGCAGAUGGGGAAGAGUUGCUUUGGCAGUUCAUAGCAGCCAAACAACUGAACACUUCCUUCCAAGAGGAGCUGCUGCCUCAUCCAUGCUCGUAGCCCUGUGAACUGUUAGAUGCCAUAUGAAUGCAGCAUGUGAAGGGCCAAACAGAUCUCACGAACAGGAAUCUGUCCAAAUGCUGCUGGUUAUGUCAACUCCAAGAUAAGCAGUCUGUCAAGUUUUGGAGUUCUACAGUUUAACAAAUACGAAACUUCCUUUCACCAUGCAUAGAGCCAAUAAAAAUAUGUUUCUAGUCAUUUCCACAACACAAAGAGAGCAACUAUUCAAAAAAACAUGUAGCUUCAUUAUCGGAAGAAUGGUCUGCACCACUGGUAACUUAAUAGUGGAAACCCUGGGAAAACAAUUGCAAUGCAAACAAAAGGGGGGAGGGGGGAAAAUAGUCAGGAAUUUAGCUAGAGAAAGAAAAAAAAAAAAGAGACCCCAGUCACUGUUCGUUAGUACCUUAUACUCCAUAUGGUUUCUUCCAGAAUACUCUUCCCAGUCAUGCCUCAAACCACAAUCUGCAUUUGCCUCCUUCCAAGAAUUUACAGCUGCACCUCCUUGGACAUUUGGCAGAGUAUCACCAAUGGUCCUAAUUUAGUUCAUGAGGUCCUGUGUUUCCUCAGUGACUACCAUGGAAUUAACCAGCACUUCAGCAGUAGCAGUUUUUACAAGCCAUUUCAAAAGCAGCACAUAUUUUGCAUCAUUCAUGUAUCUGCUGGAGUCUUCAUAGAGCCAUAAGAUCGUUAGGGCUGGAAGGGACCUUAAAGCUCAUCUAGUUCCAACCUGCUGCCAUGGGCAGGGACACCUUCCACUAGACCAGGUUUCUCCAAGCUCCAUCCAAUCUGGCCAUGAACACUGCCAGGGAUGGGGCUGCCACAGCUUCCCUGGACAACCUGUGCCAGUGUCUCACCACAUUCAUAGAGAAGAAUUUCUUCCUAAUAUCUAAUCUAAAUCUGCCCUCGUCCAGUUUAAAGCCAUUCCCCUUGUUCUAUGCCUACACGCCCUUGCAAAAAGUCCCUCUUCAGGUUUCUUGUCGGCCCCUUUAGGCACUGGAAGCUGCUCUAAGGUCUCCCCUGAGCCUUCUCUUCUCCAUGCUGGUCAAGCCAAACUCUCUCAGCCUGUCACAGGAGAGGUGCUCCAGCCCUCUCAUCAUCUUCGUGGGCCUCUUCUGGACUCGCUCGAGCAGCUCCACGUCCCUCUUUUGUGUCAGGGGCCCCAGAGCUGAACGCAGUGCUCAUGUCAGGUUCAUAUCACUACCUGUCACCCGUGCUUGUAAUUGUUAAUCUCCACACCAGAUUUCUCACUUUGCCCUGCUCUCAGGUGAGCAUCGAUGGAAGCGUUUUACAGGGGCUUUGUUGAAGUGUGUAAUUAUAGCAGCUGUCUCUGUUAACUUCAAUUCCUGACAUCUCUGCCUGUUCACAUACUUCCCAACAUAAAUGUCACCAGCUCCGGCUCUCCCCAGAGCCCACAGGCCUGGCGUUUCCCACUCUACCCAGUGCCGGCGGAGGCGGCCAGCGUGCUCAGGUCCCUGAGGAAGAGCCGCCUGCUUCCUCCCUGAGGGGCUCGCCACUUAAUUACUUUUGCGAGGGAAGAAGGCAGGGUGUGUGUGUGAGCGGUUGGGGGUGCCUGUCCCUCCGCCGUCAGCCGGGCACGUCUCGGGAAGACACAACCGCGGCCGGGCGCCCGCGGAGCCG